This 24-nucleotide non-coding RNA is filed under the name Mus musculus (house mouse). The record is from RNAcentral. Lineage: Eukaryota; Metazoa; Chordata; Mammalia; Rodentia; Muridae.
UGGUCUCUUAUCUCAUCCCAGCUC